GGGGAUGUUUUGGUUUUGACAGCAUACUCAAUCGGAUUGUAAGCACGUCGAGCGUCGUGAAGCCGGCUCGUAAAUCCCGGAACUCAAGCCUUAACUGGCAACAACAACUAUGCACUCGCUGCGUAAUUAAGCCAUGCUUAAUCGCUUUAUCGCCGCCGGCUAGGUCCGGCCGUGACGAGUAUCCCGCAGAACUUUAUUCCUGUUAUGUUCUGUAUAUGGGGUAUCAAACAAACAGGAUGCUGGCGUUUACUCCUCUAAGGCGUCUUAAGAAACAGAGGAUAAGUUUUGAGUAGCCUGCCUCCCGGCAGCUCAUUACCCACAAUUAAAGAGAGGAUAAGCGUGUAGAAAGCUUUUGGAUGGUUUGUUUGGACGGCGGUUCGAGUCCGCCCAUCUCCAC
RNAcentral lists this transfer-messenger RNA (397 nucleotides) under bioreactor metagenome. RNAcentral describes it as "transfer-messenger RNA, SsrA". It matches the Rfam family "transfer-messenger RNA". Rfam says of the family: Bacterial tmRNA, also known as 10Sa RNA or SsrA, is named for its dual tRNA and mRNA-like properties. Its role is to liberate the mRNA from a stalled ribosome. The record is from RNAcentral.